Long non-coding RNA from Zootoca vivipara (common lizard), 5004 nucleotides. RefSeq lists it as uncharacterized. The record is from RefSeq and is a predicted model, not a curated record. NCBI's taxonomy places the organism in Eukaryota, Metazoa, Chordata, Lepidosauria, Squamata, Lacertidae.
UAGAGACCAACUAAGCUUGUCAUUGGUAUGAGCUUUUGUGUGCAUGCACACUUCUUCAGAUACACUGAAACAGAAGUCACCAGAUGCUUAUAUAUAGUGAGAUGGUGGGGAGGGGUAUUACUCCCUCCUUGUGGUGGGAAUGGGUGAUUGACUGACUGACAGCUGUUGACGACUGUUAACGACUGCAAUUGGUCUUACAGGAGUAAGCAAGGGGUGAGAUGGCUAAAGAUAGCUUUAUCAUGUAUAAUGAGAUAAGAAUCCAAUGUCUUUAUUCAGACCUGGUCUCUCCAUGGUUUUAAGCUUGGUAAUAAGUUGCAGUUCAGCAACUUCUCUUUCCAGUCUAUUUCCGAAAUUACAAAAGAAUUUCAGAAAUAUAUAUAAGCACCUGGUGACUUCUGCUUCAGUGUAUCUGAAGAAGUGUGCAUGCACACGAGAGCUCAUACCUAUGACAAACUUAGUUGGUCUCUAAGGUGCUGCUGGAAGGAAUUUUUUUUUAUUUUGUUUCCUGAUAACUCCAGGAAUAGGAAGUUCAGGAACUCUUAAUACUGUACUGUUAAAUGUGUUGGGGGGAAGUAGGAUGUACGGUAUGCUGAGACCCCUGGGGGGUGGGGCGGUUGCUGUUGGCAACAAAAUAUUAAAAACACAGUAAAGCAUCAACAAUUAAAAACCUCCCUGAACGGGGCCACCUUCAUAUGUCUUCUAAAAGUCAACUAGUUGUUUAUCUCCUUGGCAUCUGAUGGGCGGAUGUUCCACAGGGCAGGAGCCACUACUGAGAAGGCCCUCUGCCUGGUUCCCUGUGGCUUCACAUCUCACCAUGAGGUUCAGGGUAUGCGCCUGAAACCCUUGGAAUCUCUCACCGCUUGGAAACUGAAAUGGCGUGCAACCAGACAAACAACCGAAGCAAAUCAAGAACUUUGGGGGCACUCCAUUCCAUAAGGUCCAAUUUGCAACCACAGGGCGAUCUCUGGAUGCCAGGUUGGCGGCUGGGAAAAGCAAAAUGUCCCCUAGAAGAAAGCAGUUGUAAACUGCUUUGAAAUUUGUUCCAUAAAAUAUAAAGUGGUAUAGACAUGAAAUUAACAACAACAACAACAACAACAACAACAACAACAACAACAACAACAGACACAUGCUAAUAGUAGGAUAUUAAAAUCAAAAGCUGUAAAGACUCAUCAAAAAGUACAGACAAGAAAUCAGAAGGUUCAUGCAGCUGGACCAUAAAGAAGGUUGAUCGCCGAAGAAUUGAUGCUUUUGAAUUAUGGUGCUGGAGGAGACUCUUGAGAGUCCCAUGGACUGCAAGAAGAUCAAACCUAUCCAUUCUUAAGGAAAUCAGCCCUGAGUGCUCCCUGGAAGGACAGAUCGUGAAGCUGAGGUUCCAAUACUUUGGCCACCUCAUGAGAAGAGAAGACUCACUGGAAAAGGCCCUGAUGUUGGGAAAGAUGGAGGGCACAAGGAGAAAGGGACGACAGAGGAUGAGACGGUUGGACAGUGUUCUCGAAGCUACCAACAUGAGUCUGAACAAACUGCGGGAGGCAGUGGGAGACAGGAGUGCCUGGCGUGCUCUGGUCCAUGGGGUCACGAAGAGUCGGACACGACUAAACAACUAAACAACAACAUGCAGGCAUGGUGAAUUCAUAGAUUAAAUCCAUCCCCUUAAUGGUAAAGUCCUUAAUCUUGCUGAAUAGACAAUGAAAUUCAUAGCUGCAUGACAAAGUGCAACGUUUGAGUACUUUUUCAAUUUACAACAUUAAAAUUACAGUUUGACAUUGAUGGGAGGUUAAUUAAAUGGAAGCUGCCAGCAGAUUUUGUUCUGUAAAGAAGAUAUUGUUUACAUUACAUUGUGAUUAGCCAUCACACAAUGAUUCCUAUUGUUUUUUCAAUAACCUGUCAUAAAUGUAUUAUAUGAAGUACGUGAUUACAAAAGAAAAUAACAUACAUUGCAAAUUGAUAAACAGAAGGUAUCGGGGCUAUUCACUUGCUGAUAAAUCAUUUACUUUUUAUUCCACAAACAUACAAUUUAGAAUGCAAAGGUUAUUGUUAGUAAGGUUAAGAUUCUAAAAGUAUUUCAGAUGCACCGGCAGAGGUCUGUUUUCAGGCAACUGAUGUACCUGUUCAGUUCAUACAAUGCUGCACAUCUUUCUAAGCUGAAUCCAAGCUGGUUUAUCACCCAGAAAAAUGAGGCCAGUGCAGGUUCUCUUGUUGAACUGACUAAAGGCAUGGGGUUCUUCUGCACCAUAUCACACUGCCUAUUUCACUACAUAACAAGAGUUCUAUAACUGUAUAGAGUAUCUGCUUUGCAUCUCAGAUGUCCUGGGUUCAAUCCCCAGACCCCAGCAUCUCCAGGUAGGUCUGAGAAUGUGCCCAAACUGAAACGCUUUAAAGCCAUUGCUGCUAAAAGAAAACAAUACCAAGCUAGAUGACCAAUCUUCUGACUCUUCACCAGGCAGCUCCCUAGGUUUCUACUGUAUAAGCUGCUGGAUCAGACCAAAGGUGUAGCUUGUCCAGCAUCCUGCUUUCGACUGUCAGGUGCCUCUCGAAAGCCAAGCAAUAAUUUUCAGAAUGUAAAAUUAAAAUUCUUUGGUUUUCUGAAAGCAGUUCAUGUGCUUCUUCGGCUAAAGUAGUCUUGCCCUGCUAAAUAUUGUCCAGUCACAACAAUAAUAGUAGAUUUGAAUUCCUCACACCCAGAAACAUAUCUUAAAGACAGCUUACAGAAGACAUUUGCAAAAAAAUAAAAUAGUUUCACCCCCUAAAAUGACACCCCCUUACUGGGCUGCCCCAGCAACAAAAAAGUGCACCUUUCUUUAUCCGAAAAAUAGUAGAACUUACUUUUACAUCACUCCGCGUGGUAGUGAGAACCUCACAGAAAGAUAAUGCAAAAUGAUCUUUUCAUUCCUGAGAGCUGAUCCAAACACCUUUCUUUCUUUCUUUCUUUCUUUCUUUCGAGGGCCUGUGUUGCAUUUUGGAAGGCUUCGCAGCACUCUGGAAAAGACAUUGGGGCUAAUUUGGUUGGGUUCAUCACUGCCUCAGAAAUCGAGCAAUUGGAGAGAUCAUCAGGGGAAACUUCCUAACAGUAAGAUCUAAUGAGCUGUCAAAUGGUUUUCCAUGGGGAGUGAUGCUUUUGGCUCGUAGGAAACGAGACUGAAGGAAGCAGCAGAAAAUAUACUGUAGUGUGAGAAGCAGCACUUCACGACUAGAGACUUGAACCACACGACCUGUUAUUUCUAUUCUCUCCCCUGUAAACCUGUAGCUCUUUGAUUCCCGCAGCAAUGAGUGCUUCGAUCGCAGGCUGCUGUGCCGCUUGCUAAUGUGUACUCGAGGCAAACCUGCACUUCCAGUCGCUGCGAGGGCUUUUGUAAAAUUCGGGAUGCCAUGGCAAAAACCGUGGCUGCCAUCGUUUAUUUUAAAAGCAGCAAACACCCAGCAACUUUCACCACAUGCCCUUGCUAUUUAAAGGCUAAUGCUUUAGACAGGGCAAGUUAUUUGCAAGUUAUAAGUCAUUUGCAAAGUCAAAAUAAUGUAUCUUCUUUCCGUGUUAUAACAAAUCAGUCUCACGUGGCACCGCUUUCAUAACCACAUUGCAUCAUACUGUGAUAUAAUAUAUACAUCUCAGGUAAAUGAAUAGGGAUAGCAACCACCAAUAUUUUUGCCAAGUUGCUUCAUGCAGUUUACAGUAUGGCAUAUGGUACCUGAUGUCUUCUACCCACAUACACAAAAGCACUGAUCUCAGGGAAAUAUCUGUUGUCUUGUUUGCAGAGGUCGGAGAUGUUUAAUACAGCUAAAUUUGCCGUGAAGGCUGUUCAGCUUAGACAAGGUCUGCUUUUUAUGUAUAUUUUGCAUACGUCAAAUUUUGAUCUCUGUUUGGCUACAAUCUGCAUUUGGUUGCCUUUUUAAUACAUAUGAAAUGUGCAUGUAUAAUCAAUUACGACUGUUUCCUCUGGCUACAGCAGGGCAGAGGACUGUGUUAUUUUUUCAACUAAUGUGCUGCAAUCCUGUGUACCAAUUUACUUGGGAAUAAGUGCCUUUGGAGCAAGUAGACAUGCAUAGGAUCAUACUGUUUGAGAGGAAUAUACCCUGUUUCUGCGAAAAUAAGACAUACCCAUAAAAUAAGCCGUCGCAGGAUUUCUAAGCAUUUGAGCAAUAUAAGCCGCUACCCCGAAAAUAAGACAUAGUGAUAGGCGCAGUUCUGGAGGGCGCCAAGAAAGAGGCAAGGCUGGACACGUAAUAACAAUAAGACAUCCCCUGAAAAUAAGCCAUAGUGUGUCGUCUUGAGUAAAAAGAAAUAUAAGACAGUGUCUUAUUUUUGGGGAAACAUGGUGGUUGCGCAGACCAGUAUUAUAGUGGCCAAUCUAUAUUAUCGUAAACCUGGAUGUAAACAAAUUAGGGCUUUGCUCUACUUAUAUAUCCUUCUAACAAGGAGGAAUGUCUGGAGUGAAUAUUCUGAGAAUUACCAGUAGGGGAGAGAGUUUUCAUCAGUCUGUUGCCUACGGAAAGGCCUUCUUACUUGCAUAGUGAGCUGCUUGAAGCUUCAUGCCAGUCUCUGCAGGAGAAGUGUUUGCAACCAGCAUAGAGCUCUUCUGAAAACAAUGGCUCAGGUGUGCUCUCUACUCUGGCUUGAAGGCAGAAAGAAGCUCUGAGAAAACUCAAUGACUCUCCUUUAUAACAUGAAAGUGACUUGCUUGAUAAAUACAUCACUGUAUGAGAUGCUCACAUUAAAUACAAGUACCCCUGAUUUUUGGUUCCGUGUGUGUUUAUCUUCAUCAUACCAGUCCAUUUUUUAAAAUUGAUAUAUGUACUUGUGAAUAUAUACACAAUGGUGUGAAGAAACUAAUAUUGUGAGGGGGGGGAUAAUAAAUGUAAGAAUUAUGCUCUUUAAAAAACCAAACCUCUUUGGUUUGCAGUUAACUGAACAAGGGUGAAAGACUUGACAGUUUAUUCUAACUGAAGCCUGGAAGAUACAAUGUAAAUUGGCAGCCUGUCAAGAAACAAAAUAAUGUAUAAUAAUUGGAA